Molecule: ribosomal RNA, 253 nt
Filed under: uncultured bacterium
Lineage: Bacteria
Description: partial 16S ribosomal RNA
Rfam family: Bacterial small subunit ribosomal RNA
Source: RNAcentral
UACGUAGGGACCGAGCGUUGUCCGGAUUCAUUGGGCGUAAAGAGCUCGUAGGCGGCCACUCAAGUCGAAUGUGAAACCUCGAGGCUUAACCUCGAGCCUGCAUUCGAUACUGGGCGGCUAGAGUCUGGUAGGGGGAUCUGGAAUUCCUGGUGUAGCGGUGGAAUGCGUAGAUAUCUGGAGGAACACCGGUGGCGAAGGCGGCAUCCUGGACCAACACUGACACUGAGGAGCGAAAGCCAGGGGAGCAAACGGG